UACGUAGGGGGCAAGCGUUAUCCGGAUUUACUGGGUGUAAAGGGAGCGUAGACGGCUUUGCAAGUCUGAUGUGAAAGGCGGGGGCUCAACCCCUGGACUGCAUUGGAAACUGUGAGGCUUGAGUGCCGGAGAGGUAAGCGGAAUUCCUAGUGUAGCGGUGAAAUGCGUAGAUAUUAGGAGGAACACCAGUGGCGAAGGCGGCUUACUGGACGGUAACUGACGUUGAGGCUCGAAAGCGUGGGGAGCAAACAGGAUUAGAUACCCUGGUAGUCCACGCGGUAAACGAUGAAUACUAGGUGUUGGGUGUCACAGACAUUCGGUGCCGCAGCAAACGCAAUAAGUAUUCCACCUGGGGAGUACGUUCGCAAGAAUGAA
Molecule: ribosomal RNA, 375 nt
Filed under: uncultured bacterium
Lineage: Bacteria
Description: bacterial SSU rRNA
Rfam family: Bacterial small subunit ribosomal RNA
Source: RNAcentral